GGGGCGCAGCAGGCGAGAAACCUUAGCAAUGUGCGAAAGCACGACUGGGUCAGUCCGAGUGAUUCCUGAUAAAGGAGUCUUUUGCCUGUCCUAAAAGCACAGGUGAAUAAGGGGUGGGCAAGUCUGGUGUCAGCCGCCGCGGUAAUACCAGCACCUCGAGUGGUCAGGACGUUUAUUGGGCCUAAAGCAUCCGUAGCCGGCUCUGCAAGUCUUCGGUUAAAUCCACCUGCUCAACAGAUGGGCCGCUGGAGAUACUACAGAGCUAGGGAGUGGGAGAGGCAGACGGUAUUCAGUGGGUAGGGGUAAAAUCCUCUGAUCCAUUGAGGACCACCAGUGGCGAAGGCGGUCUGCCAGAACACGUUCGACGGUGAGGGAUGAAAGCUGGGGGAGCAAACCGGAUUAGAUACCCGGGUAGUCCCAGCUGUAAACGAUGCAAACUCGGUGAUGCAUUGGCUUAUGGCCAAUGCAGUGCCGCAGGGAAGCCGUUAAGUUUGCCGCCUGGAAG
RNAcentral lists this ribosomal RNA (505 nucleotides) under uncultured crenarchaeote. RNAcentral describes it as "bacterial SSU rRNA". It matches the Rfam family "Archaeal small subunit ribosomal RNA", at positions 327 to 834 of the family's 1478-position model. Lineage: Archaea; Thermoproteati; Thermoproteota. The record is from RNAcentral.